GGGAAGAAAGCAUAAUAUGCGGUUGACUUGAAAUUAACAGAUGGCGGUUAGUCCCGCCUUUUCUCG
This 66-nucleotide transfer RNA is filed under the name Lycodon rufozonatus (red-banded snake). RNAcentral's name for it is "tRNA-Ser". It matches the Rfam family "tRNA". Rfam says of the family: Transfer RNA (tRNA) molecules are approximately 80 nucleotides in length. Their secondary structure includes four short double-helical elements and three loops (D, anti-codon, and T loops). Lineage: Eukaryota; Metazoa; Chordata; Lepidosauria; Squamata; Colubridae. The record is from RNAcentral.